GCCCCGGUAGCUCAGUUGGAUAGAGCGGCGGUCUUCUAAACCGCAGGUCCCAGGUUCGAAUCCUGGCCGGGGUA
Molecule: transfer RNA, 74 nt
Filed under: Phycisphaerae bacterium
Lineage: Bacteria; Pseudomonadati; Planctomycetota; Phycisphaerae
Also listed under: 1 other name
Description: tRNA-Arg
Rfam family: tRNA
About the family: Transfer RNA (tRNA) molecules are approximately 80 nucleotides in length. Their secondary structure includes four short double-helical elements and three loops (D, anti-codon, and T loops). Further hydrogen bonds mediate the characteristic L-shaped molecular structure. tRNAs have two regions of fundamental functional importance: the anti-codon, which is responsible for specific mRNA codon recognition, and the 3' end, to which the tRNAs corresponding amino acid is attached (by aminoacyl-tRNA synthetases). tRNAs cope with the degeneracy of the genetic code in two manners: having more than one tRNA (with a specific anti-codon) for a particular amino acid; and 'wobble' base-pairing, i.e. permitting non-standard base-pairing at the 3rd anti-codon position.
Source: RNAcentral